UACGAAGGGGGCUAGCGUUGUUCGGAUUUACUGGGCGUAAAGCGCACGUAGGCGGAUCGUUAAGUCGGGGGUGAAAUCCUGGAGCUCAACUCCAGAACUGCCUUCGAUACUGGCGAUCUUGAGUCCGGAAGAGGUGAGUGGAACUCCUAGUGUAGAGGUGGAAUUCGUAGAUAUUAGGAAGAACACCAGUGGCGAAGGCGGCUCACUGGUCCGGUACUGACGCUGAGGUGCGAAAGCGGUGGGGAGCAAACAGG
RNAcentral lists this ribosomal RNA (254 nucleotides) under uncultured bacterium. RNAcentral describes it as "partial 16S ribosomal RNA". It matches the Rfam family "Bacterial small subunit ribosomal RNA", at positions 524 to 776 of the family's 1533-position model. The record is from RNAcentral.